RNAcentral lists this ribosomal RNA (492 nucleotides) under uncultured bacterium. Its description in RNAcentral is "partial 16S ribosomal RNA". It matches the Rfam family "Bacterial small subunit ribosomal RNA", at positions 29 to 507 of the family's 1533-position model. The record is from RNAcentral.
AGUGAACGCUGGCGGUAGGCCUAACACAUGCAAGUCGAACGGCAGCACAGUAAGAGCUUGCUCUUACGGGUGGCGAGUGGCGGACGGGUGAGGAAUACAUCGGAAUCUACUUUUUCGUGGGGGAUAACGUAGGGAAACUUACGCUAAUACCGCAUACGACCUACGGGUGAAAGCAGGGGAUCUUCGGACCUUGCGCGAUUGAAUGAGCCGAUGUCGGAUUAGCUAGUUGGCGGGGUAAAGGCCCACCAAGGCGACGAUCCGUAGCUGGUCUGAGAGGAUGAUCAGCCACACUGGAACUGAGACACGGUCCAGGCUCCUACGGGAGGCAGCAGUUGGGAAUAUUGGACAAUGGGCGCAAGCCUGAUCCAGCCAUACCGCGUGGGUGAAGAAGGCCUUCGGGUUGUAAAGCCCUUUUGUUGGGAAAGAAAAGCAGCAGGUUAAUACCCCGCUGUUCUGACGGUACCCAAAGAAUAAGCACCGGCUAACUUCGUG